RNAcentral lists this ribosomal RNA (687 nucleotides) under Triticum aestivum (bread wheat). Its description in RNAcentral is "partial small subunit ribosomal RNA". The record is from RNAcentral. Lineage: Eukaryota; Viridiplantae; Streptophyta; Magnoliopsida; Poales; Poaceae.
AUGCCAUGGAGCCGCCAGAGGGGUAGGCGAAGCGUGUACUGGCGAGGAUCACUUUACGCGCAAUUUUAUGGUGUGUUUCUUGUGAGGUUAUCUUUAUCGAAUGGGAAGUAUCGAGUAAUCGAAACACCGAUAAAUGACGAGGAGAGCAUUCCCGUGCAGUCUUAUGUUGGGAGAUCGGAAAAUGGCGUGUACUUUGCAACAGUUUAUGAUGGAUGUCGACUUCAGGUUUGGACUCUCAUGGAAUCGAGUGAACGGGUGGAUUGGGUGUCAAAGAAACAUAUUGAUCUGGGAACUACAACUCUACCAUUGUACCCGCCAGAUUAUAUGGAGGGAAUUGAAAAAACUUGGAUUUUGGACGACGAUGAUGAUGUGAAUGGCAACAAUAGAAACAUAAAGACGGAAAAUUUGGACUGGGACUCCGACGAUGAUAACAUUGUGAAUAUUGAAGAUUCUUAUCAAUAUUCCCACACCUAUGUCUCCUUUCUUGGGUUUCAUCCCUACAAAGAAGUUGUUUUCUUGGCGUUGACAUCAUACAAAGGACCAGUUGCAAUGGCUUAUCAUUUGAACAACUCGAAAUUUCAGUAUCUGGGACAGCUAGCAGAUUACUUACAUGGCGCUCGCAUACAAGGAUCAUUUCCGUACACCCCCUGCGUGACUGGGCAUCUUCUAUAUCACUUCACAGAGUAG